This 253-nucleotide ribosomal RNA is filed under the name uncultured bacterium. RNAcentral describes it as "partial 16S ribosomal RNA". It matches the Rfam family "Bacterial small subunit ribosomal RNA", at positions 524 to 776 of the family's 1533-position model. The record is from RNAcentral.
UACGGAGGAGGCAAGCGUUAUCCGGAAUUAUUGGGCGUAAAGCGUCCGCAGGUGGCACCUCAAGUCUGCUGUCAAAGACCGGGGCUUAACCCCAGAAAGGCAGUGGAAACUGAAGUGCUAGAGUGCAGUAGGGGUAGAGGGAAUUCCCGGUGUAGCGGUGAAAUGCGUAGAGAUCGGGAAGAACAUCGGUGGCGAAAGCGACUCUCUGGUCGGAUUCUGACGCUGAGGUGCGAAAGCUAGGGGAGCAAACGGG